This 140-nucleotide microRNA precursor is filed under the name Hevea brasiliensis (rubber tree). Its description in RNAcentral is "miR398 stem-loop (hbr-MIR398)". Its record names the gene hbr-MIR398. The stretch from base 5 to 114 matches the Rfam family "MIR398 microRNA precursor family". The record is from miRBase by way of RNAcentral. Lineage: Eukaryota; Viridiplantae; Streptophyta; Magnoliopsida; Malpighiales; Euphorbiaceae.
GUGGAGAAUUCCUACAGGAGCGACCUGAGAUCACAUGUGGCCACCCUCACAUGUUCCCUUAUCUUCUAUUGGUUGUGUUUUCGUGUGUUCUCAGGUCACCCCUGCCGGGCUUUCCUCCCCUGCUAGAUUGGUAUGAUGAU